RNAcentral lists this non-coding RNA (102 nucleotides) under Alicyclobacillus hesperidum. RNAcentral describes it as "Guanine sequence". It matches the Rfam family "Purine riboswitch aptamer". Rfam says of the family: Riboswitches are metabolite binding domains within certain messenger RNAs that serve as precision sensors for their corresponding targets. Allosteric rearrangement of mRNA structure is mediated by ligand binding, and this results in modulation of gene expression. The record is from Rfam by way of RNAcentral. Lineage: Bacteria; Bacillati; Bacillota; Bacilli; Caryophanales; Alicyclobacillaceae.
GUACAUGCGUAGAUGAGACCUCGUAUAAUGCCGGGAAUAUGGCUCGGCAGUUUCUACCAAGCGACCGUGAAUCGCUUGCCUACGAGGUCGUUGCCAUGUGAA